Molecule: ribosomal RNA, 619 nt
Filed under: Aschersonia insperata
Lineage: Eukaryota; Fungi; Ascomycota; Sordariomycetes; Hypocreales; Clavicipitaceae
Description: eukaryotic LSU rRNA
Rfam family: Eukaryotic large subunit ribosomal RNA
Source: RNAcentral
GCAUAUCAAUAAGCGGAGGAAAGGAAACCAACAGGGAUUGCCCCAGUAACGGCGAGUGAAGCGGCAACAGCUCAAAUUUGAAAUCUGGCCCCUCCCCCGGGGGGGCCCGAGUUGUAAUUUGCAGAGGAUGCUUCUGGCGAGGUGCCUUCCGAGUUCCCUGGAACGGGACGCCGCAGAGGGUGAGAGCCCCGUCUGGUCGGACACCGAGCCUCUGUGAAGCUCCUUCGACGAGUCGAGUAGUUUGGGAAUGCUGCUCUAAAUGGGAGGUAUAUGUCUUCUAAAGCUAAAUACCGGCCAGAGACCGAUAGCGCACAAGUAGAGUGAUCGAAAGAUGAAAAGCACUUUGAAAAGAGGGUUAAACAGUACGUGAAAUUGUUGAAAGGGAAGCGCUCACGACCAGACCUGGUCCCGGCGAAUCACCCGGCGUUCUCGCCGGUGCACUUCGGCGGGCUUCCAGGCCAGCAUCAGUCCGCGCCGGGGGACAAAGGCGGCGGGAACGUGGCUCCCCAGGGAGUGUUAUAGCCCGCCGCGCAAUGCCCCGGGGGCGGACUGAGGACCGCGCGUCACCGCAAGGAUGCUGGCGUAAUGGUCGUCAGCGACCCGUCUUGAAACACGGACC